RNAcentral lists this long non-coding RNA (1315 nucleotides) under Bos grunniens (domestic yak). Its description in RNAcentral is "lncRNA (ENSBGRG00000008045.1)". Lineage: Eukaryota; Metazoa; Chordata; Mammalia; Artiodactyla; Bovidae. The record is from RNAcentral.
GGUGAUACAGAUUUUCCCGGGUUUUCUGACCAGUGAGGAAAGUGAUCCUAGAGAGAGAUCAGUACGAGCGCCACCUCUAGUCCCAAUGGGAACAGCAGGUACCUGGGGGUUAGCUGGGUGGGGGGCGGGGUGGGUGGGUGCCUGGUGCAGUGUGUCCAUUAUGAUGGGGGCUCCUGGACACCCCCAUGAUCUCGCUGGAGCCCCACCCAUAGUACUGAUCUCUGGGUGAUUGACCUUGCCAGGGUUACAGCCUUGGCACAAAGUGCCCCAGGCCUAACAGGUGGUGCCGCUUUCUUAGGAGACUCUCCAAGGUAGAUUCCUAGGCCCACCCACACUCUCCCACCCUGGACACUUCUUGGACCUGCUCUGGACCUGUGGCCCUGUGGUCUCAGGUAGGUGACGUGACCCAUGUGGGUUUCCUUGUCUGCAUGAUGGUUGGGUGACGACGCAUCAUGGGUUCCACCAGCUUUUUCCCUCCCAUUGUGAAGGAGGCCACGCCAUACAGCUCCCCACCCCACCCCUGCUCUAUAGCAUCAGCAGGGCCUCACGACUCUGACUCCUUUCUCUGGCCAAGUAGAAGGCUAAGGCCCGCAGGAGUUAACUUCACACAGGUGAUCUGUCUGAGAUCAUGUUGGAGGCCUGGGAGAGCUCCACUCGGCCCAUUUCAUUACAGCCUGCUCGCGUUCACCUGAGAAAGGGGCCCGUUUUCAAAAUCAUGGCUACUUCUCUAAAUCAGCAGACAGCAGCCUGAAGAUCACCCGUAAAUGUCUGCUGCACUGAGGGCUGUUUUGGCUAAUGGAAAAAGGACACCAAGUUGAAGAUCCAUCCAGCCUUUCUGCUUUCAGUGUCCUUGGAGCCAUCAGCAGCUGUGUCCCCCACAAAGCCCUGACACUACUCUGUGUGACCCCAGAGACUGUUCCCAGCAGGAUGUCCAUCCCAUCAGCUGAGAGUCCUCAUGGUCAGUCUCAUGGACCUGUCACGGAGGCCAGCCUGCAGGGCAGGACACAGGAGCACAGGCCGAAGAGGGCUUCCUGUGACUGCUAAGGACAAGCCUUUUGCUUGGCACCUGGCCUGCAGCUGUCGGCCGGUCUGCACCUGCCUGUGCACCCGCUUUUGGGGUCUUUCUCCCUCACCCCAACUGGACCCCUGGCCUGGCCAGCCCUCCCCACCCUUGGGAAGCCUCUCACCGUCCAGCCCUCCUUGGACAUCACAUCCCUUUCGUCUGAUCUCUCUGGGGAAGCCUAUUUGCUGUCCAUGGCUUCUAGUUCUUCUGGAUGAGCACCCAGGGGAUGGCCAGAGCUGCUGUGCCGACUGA